Molecule: ribosomal RNA, 524 nt
Filed under: uncultured bacterium
Lineage: Bacteria
Description: partial 16S ribosomal RNA
Rfam family: Bacterial small subunit ribosomal RNA
Source: RNAcentral
UAGGGAAUCUUCCACAAUGGACGCAAGUCUGAUGGAGCAGAGCCGCCGCGUGAGUGAAGAAGGUCUUCGGAUCGUAAAGCUCUGUUGUUGGUGAAGAAGGAUAGAGGCAGUAACUGGUCUUUAUUUGACGGUAAUCAACCAGAAAGUCACGGCUAACUACGUGCCAGCAGCCGCGGUAAUACGUAGGUGGCAAGCGUUGUCCGGAUUUAUUGGGCGUAAAGCGAGCGCAGGCGGAAUGAUAAGUCUGAUGUGAAAGCCCACGGCUCAACCGUGGAACUGCAUCGGAAACUGUCAUUCUUGAGUGCAGAAGAGGAGAGUGGAACUCCAUGUGUAGCGGUGGAAUGCGUAGAUAUAUGGAAGAACACCAGUGGCGAAGGCGGCUCUCUGGUCUGCAACUGACGCUGAGGCUCGAAAGCAUGGGUAGCGAACAGGAUUAGAUACCCUGGUAGUCCAUGCCGUAAACGAUGAGCGCUAGGUGUUGGGGACUUUCCGGUUCUCAGUGCCGCAGCAAACGCAUUAAGCGC